RNAcentral lists this transfer RNA (92 nucleotides) under freshwater metagenome. RNAcentral describes it as "tRNA-Pro". The record is from RNAcentral.
UGGUGCUCCAGCCCGGCGACCGGGUGCGCGUGGUGGGCCCGCGCGAGCGGAUGGGCGAGAUCAGCGCGCUGCUCGGCGACAGCGAGCGCCGC